RNAcentral lists this ribosomal RNA (465 nucleotides) under uncultured bacterium. Its description in RNAcentral is "partial 16S ribosomal RNA". It matches the Rfam family "Bacterial small subunit ribosomal RNA", at positions 339 to 795 of the family's 1533-position model. The record is from RNAcentral.
CUACGGGUCGCACCAGUGGGGAAUAUUGGACAAUGGGGGAAACCCUGAUCCAGCAAUGCCGCGUGUGUGAAGAAGGCCUGCGGGUUGUAAAGCACUUUCGGUUGGGAGGACUGCUUCUAGCACUAAUAUUGUUGGAAGUUGACGUUACCUUCAGAAGAAGCACCGGCUAACUCCGUGCCAGCAGCCGCGGUAAUACGGAGGGUGCAAGCGUUAAUCGGAAUUACUGGGCGUAAAGCGCGCGUAGGCGGCUAGAUCAGUCGGGUGUGAAAGCCCCGGGCUUAACCGGGGAACUGCAUCCGAUACUGUCUAGCUUGAGUACAGGAGAGGAGAGUGGAAUUCCACAUGUAGCGGUGAAAUGCGUAGAUAUGUGGAGGAACACCAAUGGCGAAGGCAGCUCUCUGGCCUGAUACUGACGCUGAGGUGUGAAAGCGUGGGGAGCAAACAGGAUUAGAUACCCCAGUAGUC